This 483-nucleotide ribosomal RNA is filed under the name Grammomys sp. RNAcentral's name for it is "partial small subunit ribosomal RNA". It matches the Rfam family "Bacterial large subunit ribosomal RNA", at positions 1927 to 2584 of the family's 2925-position model. Lineage: Eukaryota; Metazoa; Chordata; Mammalia; Rodentia; Muridae. The record is from RNAcentral.
ACGGCCGCGGUAUAUGACCGUGCAAAGGUAGCAUAAUCAUUUGUUCCCCAAUUAGGGACUAGUAUGAAUGGCUAAACGAGGACUCAACUGUCUCUUAUUCUCAAUCAGUGAAAUUGACCUUCCAGUGAAGAGGCUGGAAUAAAACAAUAAGACGAGAAGACCCUAUGGAGCUUUAAUUAACUAGCCUAAUUAUAAUUCCUAAAACCUAAUGGAACAAAACCAUAAACAUUAGGCUAACAAUUUUGGUUGGGGUGACCUCGGAGAACAAAAAACCCUCCGAAUGAUUAUAGCACAGACAAACAAGUCAAAGCAACCCACUAUAUCUAAUUGACCCAAAAAUACUUUGACCAACGGACCAAGUUACCCUAGGGAUAACAGCGCAAUCCUAUUUAAGAGUCCAUAUCGACAAUUAGGGUUUACGACCUCGAUGUUGGAUCAGGACAUCCCAAUGGUGCAGAAGCUAUUAAAGGUUCGUUUGUUCAA